RNAcentral lists this ribosomal RNA (401 nucleotides) under uncultured bacterium. RNAcentral describes it as "bacterial SSU rRNA". It matches the Rfam family "Bacterial small subunit ribosomal RNA", at positions 945 to 1348 of the family's 1533-position model. The record is from RNAcentral.
AUUAAUUCGAUGCAACGCGAAAAACCUUACCUACCCUUGACAUGCCACUAAUCGAAGCAGAGAUGCAUUAGGUGCUCGAAAGAGAAAGUGGACACAGGUGCUGCAUGGCUGUCGUCAGCUCGUGUCGUGAGAUGUUGGGUUAAGUCCCGCAACGAGCGCAACCCUUGUCUCUAGUUGNUACGAAAGGGCACUCUAGAGAGACUNCCGGUGACAAACCGGAGGAAGGUGGGGAUGACGUCAAGUCCUCAUGGCCCUUAUGGGUAGGGCUUCACACGUCCUACAAUGUUGCAUACAGAGGGUUGCCAAGCCGCGAGGUGGAGCUAAUCCCAGAAAAUGCAUCGUAGUCCGGAUCGUAGUCUGCAACUCGACUACGUGAAGCUGGAAUCGCUAGUAAUCGCGGA